This 408-nucleotide ribosomal RNA is filed under the name uncultured bacterium. RNAcentral's name for it is "bacterial SSU rRNA". It matches the Rfam family "Bacterial small subunit ribosomal RNA", at positions 8 to 417 of the family's 1533-position model. The record is from RNAcentral.
AGAGUUUGAUCCUGGCUCAGGAUGAACGCUAGCGGGAGGCCUAACACAUGCAAGUCGAACGGGAUUGAGAGCUUGCUCUCAUGAGAGUGGCGCACGGGUGAGUAACGCGUAUGCAACCUACCUAUAACUGAGGGAUAGCCCAUAGAAAUGUGGAUUAAUACCUCAUAGUUCUUUUGAUCCGCAUGGAUUAAAAGAUAAAGCUCCGGCGGUUAUAGAUGGGCAUGCGUGACAUUAGCUAGUUGGUAAGGUAACGGCUUACCAAGGCUACGAUGUCUAGGGGUUCUGAGAGGAUGAUCCCCCACACUGGUACUGAGACACGGACCAGACUCCUACGGGAGGCAGCAGUGAGGAAUAUUGGUCAAUGGGCGCAAGCCUGAACCAGCCAUCCCGCGUGCAGGAUGAAGGCCC